GACGGACGCUGGCGGCGUGCCUAAUACAUGCAAGUUGAGCGCUGAAGGUUGGUACUUGUACCAACUGGGUGAGCAGCGAACGGGUGAGUAACGCGUGGGGAAUCUGCCUUUGAGCGGGGGACAUCAUUUGGAAACGAAUGCUAAUACCGCAUAAAAACUUUAAACACAAGUUUUAAGUUUGAAAGAUGCAAUUGCAUCACUCAAAGAUGAUCCCGCGUUGUAUUAGCUAGUUGGUGAGGUAAAGGCUCACCAAGGCGAUGAUACAUAGCCGACCUGAGAGGGUGAUCGGCCACAAUGGGACUGAGACACGGCCCAAACUCCUACGGGAGGCAGCAGUAGGGAAUCUUCGGCAAUGGACGAAAGUCUGAACGAGCAACGCCGCGUGAGUGAAGAAGGUUUUCGGAUCGUAAAACUCUGUUGGUAGAGAAGAACGUUGGUGAGAGUGGAAAGCUCAUCAAGUGACGGUAACUACCCAGAAAGGGACGGCUAACUACGUG
Molecule: ribosomal RNA, 497 nt
Filed under: uncultured bacterium
Lineage: Bacteria
Description: partial 16S ribosomal RNA
Rfam family: Bacterial small subunit ribosomal RNA
Source: RNAcentral